RNAcentral lists this ribosomal RNA (253 nucleotides) under uncultured bacterium. Its description in RNAcentral is "partial 16S ribosomal RNA". It matches the Rfam family "Bacterial small subunit ribosomal RNA", at positions 524 to 776 of the family's 1533-position model. The record is from RNAcentral.
UACGGAGGGGGCAAGCGUUAUUCGGAAUCAUUGGGCGUAAAGAGCGUGUAGGCGGCCCGGUAAGUCCGCUGUGAAAGUCCAGGGCUCAACCCUGGAAUGCCGGUGGAAACUGUCGGGCUAGAGUCCGGAAGAGGCGAGUGGAAUUCCUGGUGUAGCGGUGAAAUGCGCAGAUAUCAGGAGGAACACCAAUGGCGAAGGCAGCUCGCUGGGACGGUACUGACGCUGAGGCGCGAGAGCGUGGGGAGCAAACAGG